CCUACGGGGGGCAGCAGUGAGGAAUAUUGGUCAAUGGACGAGAGUCUGAACCAGCCAAGUAGCGUGAAGGAUGACUGCCCUAUGGGUUGUAAACUUCUUUUAUAUGGGAAUAAAAUGUUCCACGUGUGGGAUUUUGUAUGUACCAUAUGAAUAAGGAUCGGCUAACUCCGUGCCAGCAGCCGCGGUAAUACGGAGGAUCCGAGCGUUAUCCGGAUUUAUUGGGUUUAAAGGGAGCGUAGGUGGAUUGUUAAGUCAGUUGUGAAAGUUUGCGGCUCAACCGUAAAAUUGCAGUUGAAACUGGCAGUCUUGAGGACAGUAGAGGUGGGCGGAAUUCGUGGUGUAGCGGUGAAAUGCUUAGAUAUCACGAAGAACUCCGAUUGCGAAGGCAGUUCACUGGACUGCAACUGACACUGAGGCUCGAAAGUGUGGGUAUCAAACAGGAUUAGAUACCCUAGUAGUC
This 460-nucleotide ribosomal RNA is filed under the name uncultured bacterium. RNAcentral's name for it is "partial 16S ribosomal RNA". It matches the Rfam family "Bacterial small subunit ribosomal RNA", at positions 338 to 795 of the family's 1533-position model. The record is from RNAcentral.